Molecule: unclassified non-coding RNA, 313 nt
Filed under: plant metagenome
Description: partial contains 5.8S ribosomal RNA, internal transcribed spacer 2, and large subunit ribosomal RNA
Rfam family: 5.8S ribosomal RNA (bases 1-105)
Source: RNAcentral
GAAAUGCGAUAAGUAAUGUGAAUUGCAGAAUUCCGUGAAUCAUCGAAUCUUUGAACGCACAUUGCGCCCUCUGGCAUUCCGGGGGGCAUGCCUGUCCGAGCGUCAUUACGCACCCUCAAGCCCGGCUUGUGUGAUGGCCCCCGGCGUCUCGUUCGCGAGACGGGCCCGAAAGGCAGCGGCGGCGUCGACCCGAUGAGCCCGAGCGUAUGGGGACUUCUGUCACACGUUCGCGGUGCGGACCGGCGCCUGCUUUGACUUUUCUGAUUAUCCAGGUUGACCUCGGAUCAGGUAGGGAUACCCGCUGAACUUAAGC